GACGGGACCCGCACAAGCGGUGGAUGAUGUGGAUUAAUUCGAUGCAACGCGAAAACCUUACCUACCCUUGACAUGUCUGGAAUCCCGAAGAGAUUUGGGAGUGUUCGCAAGAGAACCGGAACACAGGUGCUGCAUGGCUGUCGUCAGCUCGUGUCGUGAGAUGUUGGGUUAAGUCCCGCAACGAGCGCAACCCUUGUCAUUAGUUGCUACGAAAGGGCACUCUAAUGAGACUGCCGGUGACAAACCGGAGGAAGGUGGGGAUGACGUCAAGUCCUCAUGGCCCUUAUGGGUAGGGCUUCACACGUCAUACAAUGGUCGGGACAGAGGGUCGCCAACCCGCGAGGGGGAGCCAAUCCCAGAAACCCGAUCGUAGUCCGGAUUGUAGUCUGCAACUCGACUACAUGAAGUCGGAAUCGCUAGUAAUCGCGGAUCAGCAUGUCGCGGUGAAUACGUUCCCGGGUCUU
This 464-nucleotide ribosomal RNA is filed under the name uncultured Bordetella sp. Its description in RNAcentral is "bacterial SSU rRNA". It matches the Rfam family "Bacterial small subunit ribosomal RNA", at positions 916 to 1381 of the family's 1533-position model. The record is from RNAcentral. Lineage: Bacteria; Pseudomonadati; Pseudomonadota; Betaproteobacteria; Burkholderiales; Alcaligenaceae.